This 485-nucleotide ribosomal RNA is filed under the name uncultured bacterium. RNAcentral's name for it is "bacterial SSU rRNA". It matches the Rfam family "Bacterial small subunit ribosomal RNA", at positions 30 to 507 of the family's 1533-position model. The record is from RNAcentral.
AUUGAACGCUGGCGGCAUGCCUUACACAUGCAAGUCGAACGGCAGCACGGGAGCAAUCCUGGUGGCGAGUGGCGAACGGGUGAGUAAUAUAUCGGAACGUGCCCAGUCGUGGGGGAUAACGUAGCGAAAGCUACGCUAAUACCGCAUACGAUCUAUGGAUGAAAGCGGGGGAUCGCAAGACCUCGCGCGAUUGGAGCGGCCGAUAUCAGAUUAGGUAGUUGGUGAGGUAAAGGCUCACCAAGCCGACGAUCUGGUAGCUGGUCUGAGAGGACGACCAGCCACACUGGGACUGAGACACGGCCCAGACUCCUACGGGAGGCAGCAGUGGGGAAUUUUGGACAAUGGGCGCAAGCCUGAUCCAGCAAUGCCGCGUGCAGGAUGAAGGCCUUCGGGUUGUAAACUGCUUUUGUACGGAACGAAACGGUGAGCUCUAAUACAGUUUGCUAAUGACGGUACCGUAAGAAUAAGCACCGGCUAACUACGUG